AACGGUCUAUACCUGCGGUACCUGCGGAGGGAUCAUUACCGAGUUUACAACUCCCAAACCCAAUGUGAGCGUUACCAAACUGUUGCCUCGGCGGGAUCUCUGCCCCGGGUGCGUCGCAGCCCCGGACCAAGGCGCCCGCCGGAGGACCAACCAAAACUCUUUUGUAUACCCCCUCGCGGGUUUUUUAUAUCUGAGCCAUCUCGGCGCCUCUCGUAGGCGUUUCGAAAAUGAAUCAAAACU
RNAcentral lists this unclassified non-coding RNA (240 nucleotides) under soil metagenome. Its description in RNAcentral is "partial contains 5.8S ribosomal RNA, internal transcribed spacer 2, and large subunit ribosomal RNA". The record is from RNAcentral.